This 1274-nucleotide long non-coding RNA is filed under the name Manacus vitellinus (golden-collared manakin). RNAcentral's name for it is "lncRNA (ENSMVIG00005014374.1)". Lineage: Eukaryota; Metazoa; Chordata; Aves; Passeriformes; Pipridae. The record is from RNAcentral.
GCCUCCCGCCCCUGUGGUGGUUCCCGACACCCCCACGGCUGCCCCGCAGCGUCCACGUUUCCGACCACAGAGAGCCCGCAGGGGAACAGCGCCUCUCGCACGGCCGCUCGUGCAGCGAGCGCAGUGCCACCAGCAUCCCAGGGCUUUUGCUAAACCGCUGGAAAAUAGAUCACCCCGCCUCUUCCUUGGACCUUGUACCGCCAAAGGACCCUUCAACCAGUGAAAUAUCAGGUAUGACGGGGGACAGACGUUUACAAGUGCACCCGGAUCUGUUUAGCCAGCUGCCUGUACAAACAAGUGUAACAAGUCACAGGUAAUUGUUUACACACAGUGUUUAUUGCAAAUUACUGUCACUUCCUCAGGAUGUUAGCAUGUUGUAUAACAAAGCUCCAGUGGAUUGUUUUCUAGCAAGGGUAUACACUGGUGAUGUGCUUUCCUAAGUGCUGAGCUUGUCCCAUCAACUAAGUUUCAUACUUAAAAGAUUACUUAUUUUACAAAUUAAAUUCCAUAGGCAGCAGCAGUGGUUUCCACGGGGUAAAUGAGAGAUUACUUCUCAAGGAUCCAUAAGGCUUAUAACAACAAAAUAAUGCUCUUUAUUAUUAAAUAAAAUAGAAAUUAAAAGUCUGCUUCUUUGCAGUAUUUUUAAGUCAAGGACUCUAAAACCUGUGAGACAGAACAUAACUGUACCCAUUUACCAGACAGGGGCAGGACAGGACAGAGGUGAGGGAAAGACACAUCAGUGUAGAGGACUGGUGGUGUUGAAGUCCAACAGCAAGUGUCACAAAUGCUACUAUGUUAACUCAAGAGGGAAAAUUGAAUCCAGAGGAAAAGCACUUUGGGAGUCAGAUGAAGUCAGAAAGUCAGUCCUUAGCAAUGUGCCCCGCUCUAGGACUGUCUGGACUAGGAAAAAGGCAGGUCAGCCACAUUCAAGGGAAUUUGUGUCUAUGGGAUAUGGUACAUCCCUAAGCACAACCCCAUGUUACAUACAGUUUGAGAAGGAAUAUCUUUUUAGAGUUCUGUAGCAUGGAUGUGUUGGUCUCGUUCCAGGAACAAUGUCCCAUCUAGCUCACAUUUUGUAUUCAUUCAUAGAUUAUAUAUUGUGUGCACUUAGACAAAGCUACCUCCCACUCUUCUCCUUAAUUCUGAACAGAAAACUCAAAGGAGUUUUGAGACUUAUCAUGAUGUCACCAAUGCACCAAAUAAGAAGAAACAGAAACAACCAGCAGAGAUCCUGUUGCUCUAGGAUGGACUAUUUUUUUCUAUAAAAAUAAAAC